GCUGUUGCUGCGCCACCAUCACCAUCAUCAUCUCUGUGCUUCUCAUCAUCGUCUUCACUGUGCUCACAUCGUUGAAUAUAUUGAAGCAGCAAUAACCAAGGAUGAGCUUCAGCACCUCGCUUUGCUGUUCAAAUCUGAAUUUGAUUCAAUUGGUCAAAUCACUGCUGGAGUUUUGCGGCUGCUUAAGCUGGAAGGUUCUGUUGGUCAAGCUAUAAUAGAUCAACUUGGUAACCUAGGCUAUCUUUAACGAGUAGUGUGAAGUCAUUGCUUUGUGAAAUAGCCUACAUGAACAACUCUGGAACAUUAGUUUAAUUUGCAACCUCUCUUUCUCCGGAGAAAUUGAGCACAUUGAGAUCUUCAGGUACAUACUUUUCUCAUUUUCUGUGCAAAAAAUUCUUAAAUUUUAGCUUCUUUCUUUCUUAGAAUUUGAAGAAAAAAGAAGGUUUCUUGAAUCCAGUUUUCGUUAGCUCGAAUUUUUAAGACCUCUGGUUAGAAUGUUUGUGGGGUGGGGGGAGAAAAAGUACAAAAAGUAGACAAGAAAUCACGUGGUGUAUUGAGAGUAAAGCAAAGCUGAAUAAGGUAGGGUGUAACUUUAACCAUCAUUCUAUUUUAUUUUACUUAUUAAUUUAUUUUGGCCUUACUCAAUGCCAGCUAGGAAGUUAAGUGGAAGUUUGGUACACUUAAGAUGUUCUGUUUUAGGAUUUGAACUAAUAUUAUAUGCUGAAACUAGGAGUUGAUAUCGACACAGCAGAGUUGUGAUUUCUUUGGCUUCUCUGAUUUCUUUCGUGCUUCAUUUUGUUGCCUUCCAUUUUAUUCUUGAUUUGGCCAGGGACAAUGGAUUUCCUUGGGUUUGCUGUAGGUUUAUUUUAGAGUAAAGUUCUUUUGUAUAAUAUAUAUCAAGUUGCUUAUACUCCAUUAACAAUGGAUAAUGGCUUAUCCUCUGCUAGCUAUUAGGCUAAACUAAAUGGCUUAAAAUUAUUAAAGGAUCAUAUUUAGUUCUCUAAUAGUUUUACUUUAAUACACUGCUCUAGGAUGUAUAAUACUGAUGAUUAUAUGAUGAUUUCAGAGAUUUGUUGUUGUUAAUUGAAUUUAUCAUACAAUGCUGUUUAGCUAUUUGAUUAGAUGCUUAAGAAUUAUUGGACUUCUUUUCAUUCUAGUAUGCCUCGUGAAUCCCAAGCUUGUGAAAAUUUCACAUAUGGUACAUAUGAUGAGUACUGCUGACAUAAAACAAAUAUACUUGGUUUAUGAAUGAUAGAAAUAGUAUAUAGACAUUGUGUUGAGUGAUGUUUGAAAUUGUUCUUCUCUUGCAUUCAUGAACUGUUUAAAGCAAUCCAUUCAUGCUUAUCAUUGUGAAUGUUUUAAACUUAUAAUCAGGUACCAUGGCUCCAUUAUCGUCAAUUCCUUGUUUUCCUUCUCUAGUUAAAGUGCUUCAAACGUAGCUCUUGAACUAGAUGUAUACUUUUAGUGUUAGUCUUUUGAGUGCUUCUUUCAUUUUUUAAAAAUAAAAUAUCCUAUACAUCGGGAGUGGUAUAGACCCAUGCAUUUAUUAAAGCAGAAAAGAUAAUACUACCCGAAGAUAAAAGCAAAAGGAAAAGAAUUCACGAAGGAAAAAAAUCAGGUAACAUCCUCCAUUUGACACACUAUUAUAUAUUUUCAUAACUCUACUUUAUUUUCCUUUUCUGAUAUGAAAAAAAGGUUGCUAAGGACAGGGCUAGCUGUAUGCAGUUGUGUCAUUAUAUGAAAAAAGUUUGUUGACUAUCACAGAAAAUUUAGAUGCAGAAUUCAAUGAUAAAUUAAUCACAGUAGAACAUAGUAGCUGUGCACUAAAAUAUUGGAGAUUUUUUUGGUCUGGACUAAUAUAUAGAUUUCUGACCUGUUUUUAUCACUACUAUUACCAAAUGAUAAACUAUGAAAAUGAUUGAAUCUUCUCAAAUGCAGAUUAUAGUUUACAGAAUAAUAAAGAGUAGUAACAUUAAAAGUCUAACUUGUCUAAAUUUUUAUUAAGUACAAAUCUUCAUUCUUAUUUCUUCUUCUUAUUGUUCCGGCUGUUGUUGUUAACGGUUAAGUGGUGUAUUAUCCAAUCUGUGAGCAGGUAAAUUUUAAUGUGCAAGUGGAUCAAUCAUAUCAUCAAGAAAAAAAGAGCUAUAUAGACAAAAGGCUUUCACUAAAAAACAAAAAAGGAACAGGGGGUCCAACUCCAGCAUCAGCACUAAAGCUAGACAAGCUUCUCCAUGAUUAGGUGCUAGUCCUAAUCAUGUUCUAUAUGUUGCUGCUGCAUGUAGUAGUAGUAGUUGGAGGAGUAAUAAUUCAAGAUUGGCUUGUGUAGGAGAGUUCAACUUUUCAAAUGUGAAGAGAAUAGAGAAAUUUUGUGGCAACAGUUCUGAUUUUGGCAUUGUGGUGGGAGGAUAAUAUUGAGGAUGAUGAUAAUGAAGAUUAAGUUGAUUAUUAUUGUGAUUUAUUGGCUAAGAUAGAGUAAUGUUGGAAAUGGAUACAUGUAUAGUUGACUAAUGACUUUUAUUAGAAGAUACUUAUGUAGGAUAUAAUAUUUUAGUUUUUUAUAGAGUAUUAGUAGUAAAUUCUAAGUGAUAUCAUAGUUAUUUUGAUAUGGCUAUGUUUAUUUUAA
Molecule: non-coding RNA, 2623 nt
Organism: Arachis ipaensis
Lineage: Eukaryota; Viridiplantae; Streptophyta; Magnoliopsida; Fabales; Fabaceae
Source: RefSeq, a predicted model, not a curated record